RNAcentral lists this long non-coding RNA (1517 nucleotides) under Taeniopygia guttata (zebra finch). Its description in RNAcentral is "lncRNA (ENSTGUG00000028945.1)". The record is from RNAcentral. Lineage: Eukaryota; Metazoa; Chordata; Aves; Passeriformes; Estrildidae.
CUUUUAAUUUUAUGAAAGGAAUUUUCCACCAUAUACUUCACUAAUCACUAACUUCAACACAGAAUUCCAUAUUAAUAAAAUACUCCCCUUCAUCUCUUCCUGCAAAGACAAACUUGUCUUGGCCAUUUUAUAUAAUGAAGAGCACCUGUUUGCCAGCCACUGUGUUUAUUGCCUUCUUCCACCCUCUCUUAAACCAUGCCCUAUCACCCUCUCAGUGAUAUCUGUUAUAGUGGUGAUAUCUAUUACAAUGGUUCUAUCUACUAGAGUGCUUCUGUCUUGGUAUUCUAUCAGAACACUUGUAAUUCCAGUGUAAAAAACCAAACAACAGCAACAAAUAAUUGCAUUUGUUAAGAGUGGUCUAACAGAACAAUGCAAGACAAAGGCACACUGGGUCAGGUGUUUUUAGGCAUUGUGGCAAUGCUCAUACCCUUUAAGAAAGGAUUUAAGUAGGGACAAUAUAUUAAUCAGGAUGAUUGUGUAUUUGCUAUCCUCUGUAAAGCAGAGCUGUCCCUGGAAAAACUGGCACUUGAUCUAUACCAUUAGAGCAUAUUAGUGAAAUCAUUGGAGUAUUAAAUACAAAAUAUGAGGGUCUAGGCAUGUUAAAUACCUGAUUUAAUCUCUCACACAUUUCAUAUAUCUUUGUGGCUACUAUAAUUCUGAAGGUUAUACUUAAGAAUCCAAGCAAGGGUAUAUAUGCUAUUACCUUAUAAUGUAGAAUAAGUACACACAUUCCAAUUAGAAACUUUUUUGAUCUGUAAAUCUUUUGUAAACACUUUGAAAGCUGCCAUAAAUGCUGCAGUUUACAGAUGCAUUUUAUUUAAGGGAACAUAUACAAACAAGUAAGUGUGCAGUCAUGCAGUACUUUAUUCUAGGUGGUUUAAAAAGUUACUAUAUUUAACAAGGAAGAAAUGAACCAAUCUCCAAUAGUUAACUGACUGCUAUACUGACUAGAAUACUACCACCAGCACAGAAGUUAUAUUUUAGGAAACUAGUGAUCCCCAGAUCAGUAUGAUCUAAGGGAUAUUUAAUUUUCUGUUAAAAAAAUAAACUGAAUCAUUUCUUUGUGAAGAAAAGCACUGCACUAAGUCUAAAAAUCCCUAAUGGAAACCUUACUUGAAUCUCUUCUGUUUUCCUGCCUUUUCACAAUACCACUUUAAAACAAGAACCAAAAGAAAGAAGUGCAACAGAACCUUAGGCUGGUCAGGUGCGUUGAGAAUAGCUCUGUGGAAGGAACCAGCAUUACCAGUUGUUUAGAGAUGCUGUGAUUCUCUGAUUGCCCUGACAGCCCAAAGCUGAAUCUUCUGCUUCUUGCUGCUCUCAUGACUGAGAGACGCUUGCUGAAACCUAGGAGAAAGCAAGCAGUGAGGAGUGAGAAGAGCGUUUGAAGCCCGGGCAGCAGGGAGGUUAUGAAGGAGUGUAUUCCUUCUCUUACUUAGGAAGAAAAAGGCAGAAGUGUGAUGCACCCAUCUGUAGUACUGCAAAAAGCAAAAAAGGAAAAAAAAAAAAAAAAAAAAAGG